UACGUAGGGGGCAAGCGUUGUCCGGAAUCAUUGGGCGUAAAGAGCGUGUAGGCGGUCCGGUAAGUCGGCUGUGAAAGUCCAGGGCUCAGCCCUGGGAUGCCGGUCGAUACUGCCGGACUAGAGUUCGGAAGAGGCGAGUGGAAUUCCCGGUGUAGCGGUGAAAUGCGCAGAUAUCGGGAGGAACACCUAUGGCGAAGGCAGCUCGCUGGGACGUUACUGACGCUGAGACGCGAAAGCGUGGGGAGCAAACAGG
This 253-nucleotide ribosomal RNA is filed under the name uncultured bacterium. RNAcentral's name for it is "partial 16S ribosomal RNA". It matches the Rfam family "Bacterial small subunit ribosomal RNA", at positions 524 to 776 of the family's 1533-position model. The record is from RNAcentral.